GAACGCCGAGGAAGGUCCUCUCCUCUCGGGGGAACCGUUCGAACUUCGAGCCUGCACGGACUGAGCAUAAAAAAACAAACUCGAGAUGUCGAGUGCAGUGAGCAUAAGAAUAAUUAAUGGACGCUAAACUCAAUCCAGAUUCAGGGGAUCAUCCUGGCACUCUGAAUGAUAUGAAUUACGAUUCCCAUUCAAGCAGAAGACCAAGGGAAAGUAGUGAGCAAGACCCAAAUCCCAGGCAUCCGGGAAGAGGCAGCAGUCGACAGGAGCAGAAUACUCACCAGCUAAGAGGUUCUACAUACUAAGAAAUAUGAAGAUCUUCCUACAAAGUUCAAAACAAAUAGAUAUAAUACAAAAUCUCCAACAACAAAAGAAGAAUCAAGAAACAUAGAUCCAUGGGAUAUAGACUUCAGAAUCUAAAACCCUAUAAAAGAAGGUCUUUUUCCAGAAAAUUGCCAGCAGAUGAAAAUCAUUUUCUGUUCAGCACCUGAGGACUACAAACCAUCACAGAGUAAACAGUUCACAUGAGCUCUUGUUUAAUAAGGGAUGAACUCAGUUCUUGAACUAGAUCCAAGUGAUGUGCCUGGUCCAAGCAUGUAAGGAAUUACAAACAGCAGACGAGCAUCAGACGUAGAGACAGCAACAGUGAAGAUUACCCAUACUCCAGACAAGCAGGAAAUGAAGAAACUGACAGACAGCCCAUGGAAUCCCAAAUCUUCACAUCAGACACAAGGUACCCUGCGAGAGAAUGUAGUACAUUUACAUUUAUCAGUCACUCACUUCAGGCUUCCAUAAACAACUAAAAAUAACUGAAGCACUGAAUAAAUCAAGCUAAUAGAAAUACAUAAUGCAAAAUUCCCUGAGCAUCUAUGGGGAUGGAAAGGCAUUAAGGUAUGUAGUGACUGAUUUAAAGAGGGUAGGGCCUUUGAGUUAAAUCAAAGAAAAUCUUGUUGACUGGGAAGUGCAGUGCAAAAAACCUUGCUUCAUUGAAAUCAAGUGGAAAUGAUCAGGGAACCAGGUUCCCACAUUUAAAGAGACAAGUACAACUGACAAUAAAAUCUGUAAAGAAAUAGAAGUCAAGUCACUGAGAAUAAUAUUAAAAAAUCCUCUACCCAACAAAAUAACAACAGGUCACACUUCAUAUCUAGUUUUCCAGAAUAUAUUUCCCUUCUCAUAAUGCUUCAAAUACCUUGCAUAGUCAUGGUAUCAUGUCCUGUAAAAGUAGGAGAUAAAGCAACUACAGCCAAAUGGUUUAUAAAGACUUAAAAUCCUC
Penaeus monodon (black tiger shrimp) is the source of this 1270-nucleotide long non-coding RNA. RefSeq lists it as uncharacterized. Lineage: Eukaryota; Metazoa; Arthropoda; Malacostraca; Decapoda; Penaeidae. The transcript has 2 exons. The record is from RefSeq and is a predicted model, not a curated record.